RNAcentral lists this long non-coding RNA (1233 nucleotides) under Cyanistes caeruleus (blue tit). RNAcentral describes it as "lncRNA (ENSCCEG00000021997.1)". The record is from RNAcentral. Lineage: Eukaryota; Metazoa; Chordata; Aves; Passeriformes; Paridae.
GUCUUAGUGAGUUCCCCAGCACCCUGUUUAAAGCCUGAAGGUCUGGAGGAUUUAUGUGGGGACUUCUGUUCGAUUUGGCCACAAUCACUUUGAUUGAUUUGAGGAGCAGGCCUGAACUCUGUCAAAAGUUAAAUUUUCUGUGCUAGUGGCUGGAAAGAAAAGCCUGGAUAUAAACUAAGAAAUGUUUCUUUUUAGUAAGGAGCAAUUCAGAGCAAGGAAGGAGUGCAGAUGCAAAAGGUUUCCCUUCAGUGCCUGGUGUUUUGGGGUCUGAACUGACUCUCAGUGUGCCCUGAGUUACAUUUUCAGCAGAAGGGUGAUGCCUUAGGAUUUUAGCUUGUAUAUUUUUCAUUUAUUUGUAAUCCUGCAGUUCUUUAGUGUCUGAAGUCCACACACACCGUGAGCUGCUGCUUUCCCAUUUUGGUCAGACACAAUUCCUCUCCAGGCCUGGCAAUCAAGGACACCUCACUGCCUCAGGCCCUGAGAGAUGGAAACAAAAGUGAAUUGGGGGGAACAAACUUGGGAUUAAUGACUUCAUUAUCCUAAAGUGUAAUUGGAACAUUAACCCCCAAUAUGCAAAUGGACCAAAUUUAUAAAAGUGUGAAAACUCAUGACCUGUUGUCCAUUGUUUUGGGUGUAGCCCCUGGGGGUGCUUUGCCCAAAAUGCACCUGAAAGCCCUUCAAUAAAUAUACCCAGCUUUUUAUUCCAUUAAUUUUAUCUGGCCUCUGCUUUUAGGUAAGCCCAAAGGGGAGCAGGACAAAGGUGUGGCCACACACAUCAACCCUGCAGGAAACCAAGGGGCUGGAGCCAGGGGUUUGAGGGGAGGCCCAGGAUUUGGACAGCCAUGGGCAGGGUUCUCCAGCAGGUUCUCUGGUGGCAUGAGCAAAGCUGAUCCCUGGCACAUGCACUGCUCCAUCCCAGUGUCCCUGUGUCCUGCUGAUGCCAGGAGGAGCUGUGACAGCCCCUCAGCUGCCUGGGUAGGGCAGCACUGUGACACAGGGGUGUUCCAAAACAGCCUGGAGACACCAAGGCUCAGCUGGGGCACCAACGUUUGCAUUCUGACUCUUGGACUGGGGCGGGACUGUGAUUACAGAAAAAACUUUUCUGCAGUCAGGGAGCAAAACACGAGCCUUAAACCUCACACGAGAGCGAGUGAGGCUCCCCAGCAGUCACAGAGGGAUCAAACAGCGUUUAAAGGAAAGGAAACCACCCAAGAAAUCAGCCCUGAUGGUUGA